AUGAAAGCAGGUCAAGAUAUUCCUCAAAGAACUUCCACCAUGUGCAGUAAUUACAUCACCAACCCAGUGAUUACAGGUAGGUGGACUGAACUGUCAGUUGAUUGGUAUGAAACAACAAAAAAGAAGGCACCAGGUGGGAAUGAAAUACCUUGCAAUUGUGAUAUUUUUAUUGAUGAAAGUUCUCUGGAAAAUGAGCAAAUAAAGAACGGACACUUUAUGAUACUAUUAUUCAUUUCCAGUAUUAAUAUUUUGAUAAUGGGCGCUUCUAUUUAUAGAAGGGGAGCCUCGGCGCAGCGGUAA
Molecule: ribosomal RNA, 300 nt
Filed under: Triticum aestivum (bread wheat)
Lineage: Eukaryota; Viridiplantae; Streptophyta; Magnoliopsida; Poales; Poaceae
Description: partial small subunit ribosomal RNA
Source: RNAcentral